This 77-nucleotide transfer RNA is filed under the name Ignavibacteriaceae bacterium. Its description in RNAcentral is "tRNA-Ser". It matches the Rfam family "tRNA". From Rfam's summary of the family: Transfer RNA (tRNA) molecules are approximately 80 nucleotides in length. The record is from RNAcentral. Lineage: Bacteria; Pseudomonadati; Ignavibacteriota; Ignavibacteria; Ignavibacteriales; Ignavibacteriaceae.
GCGGGAAUAGCUCAGUUGGUAGAGCGCAACCUUGCUCAAGCGUUGAUGUCGCGGUUCGAGUCCCGUUUCCCGCUCCA